GGGUUGUGAGGUUAAGCGACUAAGCGUACACGGUGGAUGCCCUGGCAGUCAGAGGCGAUGAAGGACGUGCUAAUCUGCGAUAAGCGUCGGUAAGGUGAUAUGAACCGUUAUAACCGGCGAUUUCCGAAUGGGGAAACCCAGUGUGAUUCGUCACACUAUCGUUAACUGAAUACAUAGGUUAACGAAGCGAACCGGGGGAACUGAAACAUCUAAGUACCCCGAGGAAAAGAAAUCAACCGAGAUUCCCCCAGUAGCGGCGAGCG
RNAcentral lists this ribosomal RNA (263 nucleotides) under Salmonella enterica. RNAcentral describes it as "partial 23S ribosomal RNA". It matches the Rfam family "Bacterial large subunit ribosomal RNA", at positions 1 to 255 of the family's 2925-position model. The record is from RNAcentral. Lineage: Bacteria; Pseudomonadati; Pseudomonadota; Gammaproteobacteria; Enterobacterales; Enterobacteriaceae. RNAcentral also lists the same sequence under 1 other name.